This is a small nucleolar RNA of Sorex araneus (European shrew), 154 nucleotides long. The record is from Ensembl. NCBI's taxonomy places the organism in Eukaryota, Metazoa, Chordata, Mammalia, Eulipotyphla, Soricidae.
CCUGCAUAUUUUCAGAGCUUGGAGUUGAGGCCACUGGCUUGUUGAUGCACUCUCAAGUGUAGGUAGUGUGCUAAAUGGGGUGGCAAGUUUUUCACUAAUACCACAGGGAUCUCUGCCCAAUAAAUGGAGUUUGCUAGUAAUUCUUGCUACAGAA